UAUUUGGAUGAGUUUCAGUUCUAAACCCCUUCACAAGUAUCAAUUAGGAGGGCAAGUCUGGUGCCAGCAGCCGCGGUAAUUCCAGCUCCAAUAGCGUAUAUUAAAGUUGUUGCAGUUAAAAAGCUCGUAGUUAAUCUUCUGUUAAUUUUUAUAUAUAAUAUCUCGAUAUUUAUAUAAUAUUAACAUAAUUCAUAUUACUUUUUAGUAUAUGAAACUUUACUUUGAGAAAAUUAGAGUGCUUAAAGCAGGCUAUUGCCUUGAAUACUCCAGCAUGGAAUAAUAUUAAGGAUUUUUAUUCUUCUUAUUGGUUCUAGAAUAAAAAUGAUGAUUAAUAGGAACAGUUGGGGGCAUUUGUAUUUAACAGUCAGAGGUGAAAUUCUUAGAUUUGUUAAAGACAAACUACUGCGAAAGCAUUUGCCAAGGAUGUUUUCAUUAAUCAAGAACGAAAGUUAGGGGAUCGAAGACGAUCAGAUACCGUCGUAGUCUUAACCAUAAACUAUGCCAACUAGAGAUUGGUAGGUUGUUCCUAUAC
Molecule: ribosomal RNA, 532 nt
Filed under: Cryptosporidium xiaoi
Lineage: Eukaryota; Apicomplexa; Conoidasida; Eucoccidiorida; Cryptosporidiidae
Description: SSU rRNA
Rfam family: Eukaryotic small subunit ribosomal RNA
Source: RNAcentral